RNAcentral lists this non-coding RNA (24 nucleotides) under Arabidopsis thaliana (thale cress). Lineage: Eukaryota; Viridiplantae; Streptophyta; Magnoliopsida; Brassicales; Brassicaceae. The record is from RNAcentral.
AUCUAAACCAAGAUGGAACGGUCG